Molecule: unclassified non-coding RNA, 387 nt
Filed under: soil metagenome
Description: partial contains 5.8S ribosomal RNA, internal transcribed spacer 2, and large subunit ribosomal RNA
Rfam family: 5.8S ribosomal RNA (bases 1-120)
Source: RNAcentral
GAUGAAGAACGCAGCGAAAUGCGAUAAGUAAUGUGAAUUACAGAAUUCAGUGAAUCAUCGAAUCUUUGAACGCACCUUGCACCCUUUGGCAUUCCGAAGGGUAUGCUCGUUUGAGUGUCAUUGUACUCUCACACUCUCCGAUCCUAUGGAUUCGGGGAGCGGUGGACUUGGGUGUUGCUGCCUUUCCUUGUGGCUCACCUCAAAUGUGUCAGUGCACCUCUUGGUUGGACAUAGUACGGCGUGAUAAGUGUCUUCGCCGGCACCUCGCAAGAGGGUGGCCGAUCGGGAGCUCUGUGCUUUCAAACCGUCUUCGGACAAUUUCUGACAACUUGACCUCAAAUCGAGUAGGACUACCCGCUGAACUUAAGCAUAUCAAUAAGCGGAGGA